This 433-nucleotide ribosomal RNA is filed under the name uncultured bacterium. RNAcentral describes it as "partial 16S ribosomal RNA". It matches the Rfam family "Bacterial small subunit ribosomal RNA", at positions 29 to 507 of the family's 1533-position model. The record is from RNAcentral.
AACGAACGCUGGCGGCAUGCCUAACACAUGCAAGUCGAACGAGACCUUCGGGUCUAGUGGCGAACGGGUGCGUAACGCGUGGGAACCUGCCCUUAGGUUCGGAAUAACUCCCCGAAAGGGGUGCUAAUACCGGAUAAUGUCUUCGGACCAAAGAUUUAUCGCCUUUGGAUGGGCCCGCGUUGGAUUAGCUAGUUGGUAGGGUAAAAGCCUACCAAGGCGACGAUCCAUAGCUGGUCUGAGAGGAUGAUCAGCCACACUUGGACUGAGACACGGCCCAGACUCCUACGGGAGGCAGCAGUGGGGAAUAUUGGACAAUGGGCGAAAGCCUGAUCCAGCAAUGCCGCGUGAGUGAUGAAGGCCUUAGGGUUGUAAAGCUCUUUUACCCGGGAUGAUAAUGACAGUACCGGGAGAAUAAGCUCCGGCUAACUCCGUG